GGGGGGCCAAGGAAGCCCCCUGCUUGCUUGGUGGCAGCCCGGGAAGGAGCAAGGCCGAGCAUCUUCUGGAUGUUCUGCCUGAUAGACAUUGUGCAGAGAAUGUAGAGGAAGAUGAAGGAGCAGUCAGUGUAAUCCUCACCCAGAAGGUUGCGGUGGGACAGGCCCUGGAUGUAUGAGAGGGGGAUAAAAGGAAGCUUUGCCACCACUCGGCCAUCAAAUAUAGAAUUAAACAUCCCCAUCAAGGCAGUGAAGCAGAAGCCAAUGGCAAACAUGGAUUUCAUCCGAACCAUUGACAAGUCUCUGUUGUUAUUCUUCAGUUUCUCCUCUUGUCUCUCUAUUUUCUUCUUCUGCUGUCGGCCUGCUGAUUCAGUUAUCGUUUCUUUCUUCUUUUCCAAUUUUUUGCUCUGUUUUUCCACUUCAGCCUUUAAUCUCUUGUAUUUGUCUGUUCGGUAUACCAGGACCCAGGUUAUACCCUCAGCCAGCAGCGCAGUACAGACGGAAAUGAAUACGAUGAGAAGGGUAUCGGCGAACAUGGUGCUCAUGGUGCCGCCAGCCCCACCGCCGC
RNAcentral lists this long non-coding RNA (565 nucleotides) under Gallus gallus (chicken). Lineage: Eukaryota; Metazoa; Chordata; Aves; Galliformes; Phasianidae. The record is from RNAcentral.